GUGGGGAAUCUUGGACAAUGGGCGCAAGCCUGAUCCAGCCAUGCCGCGUGAGUGAAGAAGGCCUUAGGGUUGUAAAACUCUUUCGCCGGUGAAGAUAAUGACGGUAACCGGAGAAGAAGCCCCGGCUAACUUCGUGCCAGCAGCCGCGGUAAUACGAAGGGGGCUAGCGUUGUUCGGAAUUACUGGGCGUAAAGCGCACGUAGGCGGAUUUGUAAGUAGGGGGUGAAAUCCCCGGGCUCAACCCGGGAACUGCCUUCUAGACUGCAAGUCUCGAGGUCAGGAGAGGCAAGCGGAAUUCCGAGUGUAGAGGUGAAAUUCGUAGAUAUUCGGAGGAACACCAGUGGCGAAGGCGGCUUGCUGGACUGAUACUGACGCUGAGGUGCGAAAGCGUGGGGAGCAAACAGGAUUAGAAACCCGGGUAGUCC
RNAcentral lists this ribosomal RNA (425 nucleotides) under uncultured bacterium. RNAcentral's name for it is "bacterial SSU rRNA". It matches the Rfam family "Bacterial small subunit ribosomal RNA", at positions 354 to 796 of the family's 1533-position model. The record is from RNAcentral.